Molecule: unclassified non-coding RNA, 561 nt
Filed under: Hevea brasiliensis (rubber tree)
Lineage: Eukaryota; Viridiplantae; Streptophyta; Magnoliopsida; Malpighiales; Euphorbiaceae
Source: RNAcentral
CUUGAAAGGAGAUGAAGUGGAAACUGCCCAUGCAGCUGAGCUUCUUAGGGUUGCUUGCUUAAACCAUGGCUUCUUUCAAGUCACCAACCAUGGAGUUGAUGCUUCCCUUAUUCGAGCUGCGCAUGAAGAAAUAGAUACAAUCUUUAAGCUCCCUUUAGAUAAGAAGCUCAGUGUUCGCAGGCAACCCGGCGGUGUGUUUGGAUAUUCCGGUGCUCAUGCCGAUCGGUAUUCGUCUAAGUUGCCUUGGAAGGAGACUUUCUCAUUUGGGUACCAUGGGAAUCACUCUCACCCAAUCGUCGUUGAUUACUUCAAACGUUUCUUGGGGGAACAUUUUCAACCAACAGGGUGGGUUUACCAAAGAUACUGUGAAGAAAUGAGGAGGUUAUCUCUAGUAAUUUUGGAGCUAUUGGCAGUGAGCUUGACAGUGGAUCGUUUUUACUACAGGAAAUUUUUUGAAGAUGGUGAGACCCCCACAAGAUCUUGUUUGCAGAGAAGGGCCAAGGAAGUACCCAGAUUUCACAUGGUCUCACUUAUUGGAGUUUACACAAAAGCACUACAGAG